Molecule: ribosomal RNA, 762 nt
Filed under: Mycena seminau
Lineage: Eukaryota; Fungi; Basidiomycota; Agaricomycetes; Agaricales; Mycenaceae
Description: eukaryotic LSU rRNA
Rfam family: 5.8S ribosomal RNA (bases 239-392)
Source: RNAcentral
GGAAGGAUCAUUAUUGAAUAACUUGGUGUUGAGCUGGCCCUAUUGGGCAUGUGCUUGCAUCAUAUUAUUUAUCUAUCUCUUGUGCACCUUUUGUAGUCUUUGAAGUGUUCGCAGUCGAUGCGGUUUUGGGGCUUGGGCUCUGCCCUCUUCCCUGUUUGCUUCAAAGGCUAUGUUUUUUACACACACUAUUGAAGUUACAGAAUGUCUCUUAUUGACUUUCGAGUCAGUAAAUCUAUACAACUUUCAGCAACGGAUCUCUUGGCUCUCCCAUCGAUGAAGAACGCAGCGAAAUGCGAUAAGUAAUGUGAAUUGCAGAAUUCAGUGAAUCAUCGAAUCUUUGAACGCACCUUGCGCCCUUUGGUAUUCCGAAGGGCAUGCCUGUUUGAGUGUCAUUAAAUUCUCAACCUCGCAAGCUUGCUUUGCGAGGCUUGGAUGUGAGGGUUUUUGCUGGCUUCCUUCAGUUGGAUGGUCUGCUCCCUUGAAAUUCAUUAGUGGGAUCCUUUGUGGAUGGUCACUUGGUGUGAUAAUUAUCUACGCCGCCUGACUCUGAAACAAGACUUGUGGGAACCUGCCUAUAACCGUCUCUUUCAAGAGACAAGCUUAUCUUGACAAUUUGACCUCAAAUCAGGUAGGACUACCCGCUGAACUUAAGCAUAUCAAUAAGCGGAGGAAAAGAAACUAACAAGGAUUCCCCUAGUAACUGCGAGUGAAGCGGGAAAAGCUCAAAUUUGAAAUCUGGCGGUUCCGCCGUCCGAGUUGUAA